This is an RNA transcript of Coregonus clupeaformis (lake whitefish), 1470 nucleotides long. It is a transcript of the gene named glutathione peroxidase 8 (putative), with no coding region annotated. NCBI's taxonomy places the organism in Eukaryota, Metazoa, Chordata, Actinopteri, Salmoniformes, Salmonidae. The transcript has 4 exons. The record is from RefSeq and is a predicted model, not a curated record.
AUCGAGAACUCCACUAUGCGCCCGCCGCCCAGCCAGACUCAACCCAACCCCCUUCCCAAACUCAUUCUUCCCCCUCCAAGAUGGAGGCUUUGGGGUGCUACCCGACCAAGCCAUCAAACCCGAGAGCCCGAAUGGUCAGGGUUCUACUGAGUAUGACGGUGUGCAUGGGAUGUUUAUUAAUGCUACAUAGUUUUCUCAAAAUCUCCAAGUCCAGGAAGCCGCAAGAUUUCUAUUCUUUUGAGGUGAAGGACGCCAAAGGGAGAAGCGUUUCUUUGGAGAAAUACCGAGGCAAAGCGUCUCUGGUUGUCAACGUGGCGAGCCACAGCGAACACACUGAGAAGAACUAUCGCUCUCUGCAGGAGCUGCACCGGGAAUUGGGUACUUCCCAUUUCAACGUCCUGGCUUUCCCCUGCGGCCAGUUCGGGGACACGGAGAUGGGGGCCAGCCGGGACAUCGAGGCCUACGCCAAGAACACCUACGGCGUCACCUUCACCAUCUUCAGUAAGGUCAAAAUCAUGGGGUCGGAGGCAGAGCCAGCCUUCAAAUUCAUAACAGAUUCUGUGAAGAAGGUUCCGAAGUGGAACUUCUGGAAGUUCCUGGUGAACCCUGAAGGCCAGGUGGUGAGAUACUGGAAGGCAGAGGAGCCCGCCGAGAGCGUGCGUAAGGAGGCCAUGACCAUGGUACGUCAGAUUAUUCUCAAGAAAAGGACAGAGCUCUGACGGGAUGGUGGGCUCAGAGAUGGUGAGGAGUGGAGUAAGGACACCCUCUGAAGUUUCCAGAGUUUGAAUGAAACGUUAUGAGGUAUUAAUUAAGAUACAAACUCAACUCUGUUGUUAGGUGCUGAGUGGGACUUUAGGCCAUUCUUUUCUGAAGAUGGUGAAGACUGAAGAUGAUGACAAAGAUGAUGAACUAUUGCAAUAAGAGAUGAAAGGGUGUGUUGUGUGUUUUAAUGGCCCUACUGCCAUGAAUAUAAUAGUGUUAUUCCACUAAGAGGGGCACAAUUACAUUCCCUGACAACCACCAGGUUCAUAGUGAAUUCCCUGACAACCACCAGGUCCAUAGUGAAUUCCCUGACAACCACCAGGUCCAUAGUGAAUUCCCUGACAACCACCAGGUCCAUAGUGAUUGGGAUAUUCAAGAGGAAACCAUUGGAAGGAUUUCUUAAGAACAUCAUUUCCCAUAUUAUGGCUUACUAAACCAGUACAAUAACCUCAAAGAACCACUAUUAUGUGUAACUUAGAUUUGUCUGAUUUAAAGCAAGUUGUUACUCGUUUUGUCAUAGCCGUUGUCAGAUUAAAAAACUGUCCUUUAAACAUGUAAAUCCACGUUUACAGUAAUGUAGAACAAUCAUUCUGGCCUUAAACUUGUUAAUCCACGUUUACAGUAAUGUAGAACAAUCAUUUAAUGUAAAACAUCUCUACCGGUACUGGAUUUAUUGAUAAAUGUUCACAAAUGUUGGAUUUCAAAUAA